RNAcentral lists this ribosomal RNA (432 nucleotides) under uncultured Pelagibacteraceae bacterium. RNAcentral's name for it is "bacterial SSU rRNA". It matches the Rfam family "Bacterial small subunit ribosomal RNA", at positions 29 to 505 of the family's 1533-position model. The record is from RNAcentral. Lineage: Bacteria; Pseudomonadati; Pseudomonadota; Alphaproteobacteria; Candidatus Pelagibacterales; Candidatus Pelagibacteraceae.
AACGUACGCUGGCGGCACGCCUAAUACAUGCAAGUCGAACGAAGUAGCAAUACUUAGUGGCAGACGGGUGAGUAACAUGUAGGUAUCUUCCCAUUGGUGAGGAAUAACACGAGGAAACUUGUGCUAAUACCUCAUAAGUCUUUACGGAGAAAGCUUUAUGCGCCGAUGGAUGAGCCUGCACUUGAUUAGUUUGUUGGUAGGGUAAUGGCCUACCAAGACAAUGAUCAAUAGCUGAUUUGAGAGGAUGAUCAGCCACAUUGGGACUGAGACACGGCCCAAACUCCUACGGGAGGCAGCAGUAGGGAAUCUUGCACAAUGGGGGAAACCCUGAUGCAGCGAUGCCGCGUGAGUGAAGAAGGCCUUUGGGUUGUAAAGCUCUUUCGUCGGGGAAGAAAAUGACUGUACCCGAAUAAGAAGGUCCGGCUAACUUCG